Rattus norvegicus (Norway rat) is the source of this 105-nucleotide non-coding RNA. Lineage: Eukaryota; Metazoa; Chordata; Mammalia; Rodentia; Muridae. The record is from Rfam.
ACUGCUCAUUUAAAAAAAUCUACACUGAUCUCGUCUGAUCUCAGAAGCUAAGCAGGGUCAGGCCUGGUUAGUACUUGGAUGGGAGACCGCCUGGGAAUACCAGGU